RNAcentral lists this ribosomal RNA (486 nucleotides) under Semisuturia sp. LRC-2002. RNAcentral's name for it is "partial 16S ribosomal RNA". Lineage: Eukaryota; Metazoa; Arthropoda; Insecta; Diptera; Tachinidae. The record is from RNAcentral.
CCCCCUGGUUUAUCAAAAACAUGUCUUUUUUUAAUUAUAAAAAGUCUAACCUGCCCACUGAUAUUUAGUUAUUUAAAUGGCCGCAGUAUACUAACUGUGCAAAGGUAGCAUAAUCAUUAGUCUUUUAAUUGAAGGCUGGAAUGAAUGGUUGAACGAAUAUUAACUGUUUCAUUAAUAUUUAUAUUAAAAUUUUAUUUUUUAGUUAAAAAGCUAAAAUUUAUUUAAAAGACGAGAAGACCCUAUAAAUCUUUAUAUUUAAUUUAUUAAAAUUUUUUAGAAAAAUUUUGUUAUUAAUAAUUAAAAUAUUUUAUUGGGGUGAUAUUAAAAUUUAAUAAACUUUUUUUUAUAUUUUAUCAUUAAUUUAUGAUUAAUUGAUCCAUUAUUAGUGAUUAAAAGAAUAAGUUACUUUAGGGAUAACAGCGUAAUUUUUUUGGAGAGUUCUUAUUAAUAAAAAAGAUUGCGACCUCGAUGUUGGAUUAAAAUAAU